CGUCUAUCGAACAUGAGAAAUGAGAUUGUGUCAAGACAGGUCUCUAGAUUAGAAGAUGUUCCACAUCAUCUGAUGAUGUCUCCAUCAAUGUCAUUGAAACAUGAUCCUAAUCCUUCUGGGGAGCUGCUACUAAUGCAGAAACUAGAGGAAGUUGGAAGCUCUGUCAAGAGAAUUCAAUCUUUAUUUGAGGAGCAACAAUCUCAAAUAAUAGAGUCCAUAGAUUGAGGUUUGUGAAUUUGAUGUAAAAAUAAAAUCCCUAUA
Long non-coding RNA from Glycine soja, 261 nucleotides. RefSeq lists it as uncharacterized. The record is from RefSeq and is a predicted model, not a curated record. The transcript has 3 exons. NCBI's taxonomy places the organism in Eukaryota, Viridiplantae, Streptophyta, Magnoliopsida, Fabales, Fabaceae.